This 363-nucleotide long non-coding RNA is filed under the name Zonotrichia albicollis (white-throated sparrow). RNAcentral describes it as "lncRNA (ENSZALG00000008287.1)". The record is from RNAcentral. Lineage: Eukaryota; Metazoa; Chordata; Aves; Passeriformes; Passerellidae.
GUAAAUCUUUGUCCUUUUAAAUCCAAAGGUCAAUGAUACUUUCUAUAUGCAAAUUCAGUUGUUAAAUGUAUUGCACAUUACUACUCCUGGCAGAUGGGGGAAAACUGCAAAUUUAUCAUGGUGAUGGCUUCAGGAACAAAGAAACCUUUCUUGACUCCACGUUCAGGUGUUGGAGGAUGUGGAGCUGUUGGUGCCUGAGAUCUGAGCACAGCCCAAAUGAGGUGAGCAACUCUCAUUCAAAACCUUUAAUUUUUUUAAUCUUUGCAAUGAGAAUUUUCAGCAGAUGCACUAAAUCCUGAGAUAGUCACAUGUUUAAAUGGAAUAUGAGCACAUUUUUCAUGGGAUAAUGCAUUUAACUGUUAC